RNAcentral lists this transfer RNA (82 nucleotides) under Chloroidium sp. UTEX 3077. RNAcentral describes it as "tRNA-Leu". It matches the Rfam family "tRNA". From Rfam's summary of the family: Transfer RNA (tRNA) molecules are approximately 80 nucleotides in length. The record is from RNAcentral. Lineage: Eukaryota; Viridiplantae; Chlorophyta; Trebouxiophyceae; Watanabeales; Watanabeaceae.
GCGGGCAUAGUGGAAUUGGUAAACACGUCAGGUUUAGGCCCUGGGGCGAGAGCCGUGCAGGUUCAAGUCCUGCUGCCCGUAC